GUCACUCUUAAUUUGAUAUUAUCUUCUAAAAUAAAAAUUGUUUCCCUAAUUAAACUAUGGAAAUAUCUCCUUAUUACUUUUCAAAAUCUUGCGAUGUAAGUCAACAUUAAUUCAAUACUAGAUUUUUAUCCGCGCUUUAGCGCGGGAUAAUUUUUUUGGUAAAUUUUCUAUAUAAUCUCAUUUUCUCUUCAUUUAAAAUAGGUCUGGACAUAAAAUCUACAACCCAAAGUCCAACCAAACUCAAACCAAAAAAACGUGAUCACUACCCAAUCCAAAAUAUAAGAAAUACCAAAAUAGGUCUUAUAGUGUGGUACAUCAAAUAUUUGAACCCGAAGUAUUAUUAGCCGAACCCGAACGAAAAAAACAAAAAACCAAAAAAAAUCCAAAAACCGACCAAAAUUCUAAAUCAAUUGCAAAUAUAAAUAUAUGAAACAUAAAUAUUUACUUCAAACAUUCAAUUCUAUAUUUAUUUUUAAAUUAUAUAUAUAUAAGUAUUUAAAUCUUCAAUGAGUACCUUAAAUAUCCAAUCCUAUUUCUUAUGUUUUGCUUUUCAGUUUUGGAUUUAACUUCGGAUAUAUCCGAACCCAUAUAACCUAAAUCGGAACAAUAUAUUGUUGCUUUAUGGAUUUUAGAUGUGAUACAAUUUAGAAGUUAAACCUAUGUGCU
RNAcentral lists this long non-coding RNA (666 nucleotides) under Brassica rapa (field mustard). RNAcentral describes it as "long non-coding RNA (BRAP_LNC005738)". Lineage: Eukaryota; Viridiplantae; Streptophyta; Magnoliopsida; Brassicales; Brassicaceae. The record is from RNAcentral.